GCAAAGGUAGCUUAACGGGUAGAGUACCGGCCUUUUAAGCCGGGCCGUGUGGGUUCGAUGCCCACCCUUUGCA
This 73-nucleotide transfer RNA is filed under the name Saprospiraceae bacterium. RNAcentral describes it as "tRNA-Lys". It matches the Rfam family "tRNA". From Rfam's summary of the family: Transfer RNA (tRNA) molecules are approximately 80 nucleotides in length. Their secondary structure includes four short double-helical elements and three loops (D, anti-codon, and T loops). The record is from RNAcentral. RNAcentral also lists the same sequence under 1 other name. Lineage: Bacteria; Pseudomonadati; Bacteroidota; Saprospiria; Saprospirales; Saprospiraceae.